Molecule: ribosomal RNA, 305 nt
Filed under: uncultured bacterium
Lineage: Bacteria
Description: partial 16S ribosomal RNA
Rfam family: Bacterial small subunit ribosomal RNA
Source: RNAcentral
ACAGCAGUAGCCGCGGUAAUACGUAGGUCCCGAGCGUUGUCCGGAUUUAUUGGGCGUAAAGCGAGCGCAGGCGGUUAGAUAAGUCUGAAGUUAAAGGCUGUGGCUUAACCAUAGUACGCUUUGGAAACUAUUUAACUUGAGUGCAAGAGGGGAGAGUGGAAUUCCAUGUGUAGCGGUGAAAUGCGUAGAUAUAUGGAGGAACACCGGUGGCGAAAGCGGCUCUCUGGCUUGUAACUGACGCUGAGGCGCGAAAGCCAGGGGAGCGAACGGGAUUAGAUACCCGCGUAGUCCCUGUCUCUUAUACA